Molecule: ribosomal RNA, 512 nt
Filed under: uncultured bacterium
Lineage: Bacteria
Description: partial 16S ribosomal RNA
Rfam family: Bacterial small subunit ribosomal RNA
Source: RNAcentral
GACGAACGCUGGCGGCGUGCCUAAUACAUGCAAGUCGAGCGGAUGGAAGGAAGCUUGCUUCCUAAAGUCAGCGUGGGCCGGGUGAGUAACACGUGGGCAACCUGCCCCUAAUAUCGGGUUAACGUCGGGAAACCGGAGCUAAUACCGGAAAGGCUUAUGUCUCACAUCAACGGUAAUGGAAGGACGAUUUCGGCUGUCACUUAGGGCUGGGCUCGCGGUGCAUUGGCUAGUUGGUGAGGUAACGGCACACUAAGGGGACGAUGCGUAGCCGACCGGAGAGGGUGGUAGGCGACACUGGGAGUGAGACACGGCCCAGACUCCUACGAGAGGCAGCAGUAGGGAAUCUUCCGCAAUGGACGAAAAUCUGACGGAGCAACGCCGCGUGAGUGAAGAAGGUUUUCGGAUCGUAAAACUCUGUUGUUAGGGAAGAACAAGUACCAUAGUAACUGAUGGUACCUUGACGGUACCUAACCAGAAAGCCACGGCUAACUACGUGCCAGCCGCCGCAGUAA